RNAcentral lists this long non-coding RNA (530 nucleotides) under Pan troglodytes (chimpanzee). Its description in RNAcentral is "long non-coding RNA NONPTRT004961". Lineage: Eukaryota; Metazoa; Chordata; Mammalia; Primates; Hominidae. The record is from RNAcentral.
ACUUCUGCCCCAAAAGAGUGCAGUUCUCACCAACCAUGCCAGGGUGGACCUUGGGUGACAGGAACUUCUGCUGUCCCACCUUCUGAGCCCAUUCUCAGCUAUGAGAACAUUUUAAAGUGUGCUUUUCAAGAUAUAACAGUCCAGCAGGCAGCUGAAGACAUUUCCACCAUAGACCAUUUCCUAGAAAUAAGCAGUGAAGAAAAACCUGGCCUUGAAUGUGUACAUAAAUUGUGUAACGAAUCCAGAAAACUCUGGAGAGCCCUUCAGAGCAUACACACCACGUCUACUUCUCAGCGCCUCUGGAGCGAGUCCCGUUGCCAGGAGAACUUCUUUCUUGUUCUUGGAAUAGAUGCUGCGCAGAAGGUAGGCGGUUUGGGUUGACACAGGGCUCCUGGGAGUGUGGUUGAACUUCACUGUCGCCAGUGGCCCUUGGCCGCGCCCAAGGGGUGGGUGCAGGCAGAGGUGUGGGUUCAGGUGGGUUAAAGCCACUAGGUGGCCCCAUAAACGUGUCAGGGCCACUGGAUGACUCC